RNAcentral lists this transfer RNA (73 nucleotides) under Caenorhabditis briggsae. RNAcentral describes it as "tRNA-Phe (GAA) (tRNA-Phe-GAA-6-1)". It matches the Rfam family "tRNA". From Rfam's summary of the family: Transfer RNA (tRNA) molecules are approximately 80 nucleotides in length. Their secondary structure includes four short double-helical elements and three loops (D, anti-codon, and T loops). The record is from Rfam by way of RNAcentral. Lineage: Eukaryota; Metazoa; Nematoda; Chromadorea; Rhabditida; Rhabditidae.
GCCUUGAUUGCUCAGUUAGGAUAGCAUUAGACUGAAGAUUUAAAGGUCACCAGUUCGAUCCUGGUUCAGGGCU